Molecule: long non-coding RNA, 372 nt
Organism: Oreochromis niloticus (Nile tilapia)
Lineage: Eukaryota; Metazoa; Chordata; Actinopteri; Cichliformes; Cichlidae
Exons: 3
Source: RefSeq, a predicted model, not a curated record
GACGGGAAGGAACAAAGCACGUGAUUCACCUUCUGUUUGGAAAGGGACAAGGCUAUUUGUGGUACUUUUUUCAGUAUUAAGUCAUGCACUUUCAGCCUGUCUAAUGUAGACAACACACCAGACAUUAAAUCAGGGAGAAGUGCAGCGUUUCGUAGAGGUGCUGCACAGACCCAAGACACCGAAACCUGCCGUUGACCAUGAUGGCCAUCCUGGUGCAAAGUGCCUCGCACUCCUCCAUGCUGACAAUACAAACAUUUAGAGACAGCACUGAAUCAUCACCAGGAAUAUGACAGGUGGAGACCCGAUGAGGGAGAUAGCUGUGGAGAGUUUCCUCUUGUUGCCCCCGCUGUAGCCUCCAGCCUCCUGAUCUGC